AUGACAGUACACGACUCUUUUGAGAUCCCGUAACUGGAAUGAAUACUCUCUAAAUCCUUUAACGAGGAUCAUUCCGAGGCCAAGUCUGGUGCCAGCAGCCGCGGUUAUUUCUGUCCUUGUU
Molecule: ribosomal RNA, 121 nt
Filed under: Stegodyphus mimosarum
Lineage: Eukaryota; Metazoa; Arthropoda; Arachnida; Araneae; Eresidae
Description: eukaryotic small subunit ribosomal RNA
Source: RNAcentral